Molecule: long non-coding RNA, 456 nt
Filed under: Vulpes vulpes (red fox)
Lineage: Eukaryota; Metazoa; Chordata; Mammalia; Carnivora; Canidae
Description: lncRNA (ENSVVUG00000029493.1)
Source: RNAcentral
UGGAAAGCAGACUUCAAUGGUUUUACCAAAAUGGAUUUCUUUGGACACACACCUCUUCUUCAUUUACUCAGUGGAGAAAAAAUAAAUAAAAGAAAGCAGGUCUGGGAAGAAUGAGAAAGGGUGGCAAGAGCUAACAUGCUGGCAAACAAAAAAAUGUAUGGCAUUUUAUCAAAAGUGACCUGUGUGCUCCUGUGUAUUUCUCCUGGAAUGAUGCCUCCUGGGUUUCCUGUAACAAAGAACCUCAAGCUUCUGAGGAGAAGUUAAUGUUCUUUCUUUUGAAGACUGUGAGUUUGUGAGAUCACACACCAGGUAACUGAAACCCGAAACAUCAUAAAGGUGUUUUCAAAACUCAGGCAUUCUGUGAAUGAGACAUGAAAUGAAUUUCAUACGCAUCAGCUCCCCAGAGCCUUGUCACAAUAGAUAAGGCCAAAUCGAAGGAUGCGGCAUUACUUCUUG